CACACCGCCCGUCACGCCAUGGAAGUUGGGAGCGCCCGAUAUCCCGUGUCCUAACCCGCAAGGGAGGGAGCGGUCUAAGGCGAGCUCGAUGACUGGGGCG
RNAcentral lists this ribosomal RNA (100 nucleotides) under uncultured bacterium. RNAcentral's name for it is "partial 16S ribosomal RNA". It matches the Rfam family "Bacterial small subunit ribosomal RNA", at positions 1386 to 1482 of the family's 1533-position model. The record is from RNAcentral.